RNAcentral lists this transfer RNA (360 nucleotides) under uncultured Microcystis sp. Its description in RNAcentral is "partial 16S-23S ribosomal RNA intergenic spacer". The stretch from base 135 to 208 matches the Rfam family "tRNA". The record is from RNAcentral. Lineage: Bacteria; Bacillati; Cyanobacteriota; Cyanophyceae; Chroococcales; Microcystaceae.
AAAGGGAGACCUAAUUCAGGUAAAAGACGAAAAAAAGUAGUCGCUACCAAGAAUCAAUCCCAAAAGGUCGGAGCGAGGCGAAAUUGGCUUUCAAACUAGGUUCUGGGUUCAAACAAGACCUGAAUCAGGAACAAGGGCUAUUAGCUCAGGUGGUUAGAGCGCACCCCUGAUAAGGGUGAGGUCCCUGGUUCGAGUCCAGGAUGGCCCACCUGCACAGGUGGCAAAAACAAGAGAAGCGAGGAAUCAGCACCUUAUCUUACUUAGAUAGUAAGAGAGAAUGCUGGCUCUGAGUAAAGAGUCCAGAGGAACCUUGAAAACUGCAUAGAGCUAGGUGAAAAAGCCAAAAAAGAAGACCGCAAG